AUUCUCACGUGUUGUGGGAGGAACCCAGGGGGAGGCAAUUGAAUCACCGGGGCCAGUCUUUCCCGUGCUAUUCUCGUGAUAGUGAAUAAGUCUCACAAGAUCUGAUGGGUUUAUCAGGGGUUUUCAUUUUGCUUCUUCCUCAUUUUCUUUUGCUGCUGUAAUGUAAGAAACGCCUUUUGCCUCCUGCCAUAAUUCUGAGGCCUCACAGCCAUGUGGAACUGUCCUAUUGCCACUUUUCAGUGCUGCAGCAGCUAGUCAGAUGACAACUGGGUGAGAGCUUGGUCUCGAGUGUUUCCUGUGAGGCCAGAAUAUUGCUCUGAUUCCUCAGGGGUGACUCAGCCCUCCGGUGGGAAAUAUGUGACCUCAUUUGCAUUUCCUAAUUGAAUUGCUAUCAGCUUUCCUGCAAGACUGCACCAAAAAACAGUUCUUCCAGAUUCCAGCACUGCCUGCAUUGCCCACAGAAAGGCUGCUUUUAAAUAGUUGCUAAGAGAGGGCGACAAAAGAAGGAGAAAAGUUGCCAAAUUUUUAUGGUUCAUCUAACUGUAAAGCUGUCAGUUUUACCCAGCUCCCCAGAGUCGCUAAAAUAAUGGACAGAGGAGGCGGCACUUGAAGAAACCUCGACAUAAGAGAAAUGAAAUUUACAGAACCAGGAAAUUAGGGGUCCCCAUGCACCUGCCCUGGCAGAAUCUGCUUCCAGGCUCCUCUCAAUAAACACUGCCCUGGGACUCCCAGCGCUCUGUAAACUGAUGCUUUGAAGGAGGCCAUUUGUUUCUCCAGAACCUUCUGCCAGCAGAACUCUUGCUUACCACGUGCCCCCAUCAGAACUCCCACCUUCUCUAAACACAGUUAGGUAGCCCUCUGCAUGCAUUUGUUUAAAAAAAUUAAAUUGUGAGUAAUAGACUAUAAGUACAACAGCGUACAGAACACCAGCUAAAAAAAUGAUGGCAGAAUGAGCACCUGUCUUGCCACAAGACUCCCUCCCACCCUCUGGUGUCCCCCAGCAUGGCUUCCUGCUGCCCCCUGAAAGGAACCCUCAACCGACUGUAACUCUGCACCUCAGUGCCACCCGAAUUUGGACUUCAUGGGAGUGCGGUCACUCGGCUGACACGUGUUCCUGCUGCCAGGCACCUGCCUGCUCUCCUUCUUUGGUCUGUUUGUGAGAUUCGCUGGCUUUGUUGCUUCUAGCUGCAGUUUGUUCACUUUUACUGCCGUAUAAUAUUCCACUUUAGGAGCCCACUGCAAUUUAUUGACUCAUUGCAAUGGUGAGGGCAUGUGUGUUGUUUCCAGCUUUUGGUGAUUAUGCGUAAGAUUUCUCUUAACGUCCCGUACAGAGUUCUUGGUAUUACCUGCCUAUACUGCUAUGGGCAUACACCAAAAACGAGGCAUAUGUAUAUUUGACUUUAAUAGUAAUUCUGAAUUGCUGUCUAAAGUGUUUGUACCAUUGUACACUCCCAUCAAGAGUAUACGAGUGCUGCAAAUGUCCUUUCCCAGACUCUGCCUUAUUGUCUCAUUUUUAAGAUAUAUGUUUUGAUGAUCAGAAGUUCUUUUUUUUUUUUUUUUUUUUUGACAGGCUUUUGCUCUGUUGCCCAGGCUGGAGUGCAGUGGCAUGAUCUCAGCUCACUGCAACCUCUACCUCUCGGGCUCAAGUGAUUCUCCUGUUUGAGACUCCCUAGUAGCUGGGAUUACAGGUGUGCACCACCAUGCCUAGCUAAUUUUUGUAUUUUUAGUGGAGACAGGGUUUCACCAUGUUAGCCAGGCUGGUCUCGAACUCCUGACCUUGGGUGAUCUGCCCACCUUGGCCUCCCAAAGUGCUGGGAUUACAGGCGUGAGCCACCGCACCUGGCAGAAGUUCUUAUUUUUAAUAAAGUCCAGUGAUCAUUCUUUCCCGUGUUUCACGCUUCACGUGCCAUGUGCGAGGAAGCUUUCCACACCCGGGGGUCAGUUCACUCCCAGCUGCAUUGCUUUGCCUUUCCUGUUUAGGUUUUCAGUCCACCUCAAAUGGAUUUUGGUUGUGGUGUGAGGUAGGGGUCAUUUUACUUUUUUCUUAAAGAUGCCCCAUUGGCCCAGCAUCAUUUAUUGAAAAGACAGUCUUUCCUCUGUUGUUUCUGUAGAAAUGGGCAAACUUUCCCCCAAAUGGCCAGAUGGUAAAUAUUUUAGGCAUCUCAGGUUAAGGGGCAAAAUUGAGGACAUCGUAUAGGUACUUACAUAACCCUUUAAAAUGGAACCAUUUAAAAAUGUAAAAACCAGUCUUAGCUUGCUGGCCAUAAAAGGCCUGUGGGCUACAGCAUGCUGGCACCUGCUCUACAGCACUGCUCUUAUAAUAAAAAAUCAAGCGUCUGCACCCUGGGCAUUUGACAAGGCUCAUCAGAUUGUAAAGAUGAACUGGGUGGAUUUUGUAGUAUGAGAGUUAUACGUCCAUGAAGCUGAUUUUUAAACACAUUACAUGUCUUUUUCUGGGCUCAUUAUUUUUGUUCCAAGUGUCUAUCUAAUCAUCUUUGCUUCAAAAUGACACCGUUUUAAUGGCUGUAGUUCAGUGGUUCUCAAAAGGGGGCAGUUUUGCCCCCCAGGGAACAUUUGGCAGUGGCUGGAAAGAGCUUUGGUUGCAUAUGGAGGUUAUGGGGCUUUACCUGGCGUUUAGUGGGUAGAGGCCAGGAGUCUGGCUUACUAUCCUGUAGCACACAGGACAGCCCCAACAACUUGUCUGGAAGGAUGUGUCCUCCCAUCUUUUUCUUGUUCUAGGCUACCUUCGCCCUUUCCAUUUCCAUUAAAAAAUUUUAAGUCAGCUCUUUACUCUUCCCGAAACGAGCAAACAAAAAAUCUGCUGGAAUUUUUAUUGAGGUUGUGUUGACUCUAUGGCAACUUUGGGUAGAAUCAAUAUUCUAACAUAAGCCUUCCAAGUUAUGAGCUCAGCAUAUCCCUCCAUUUUUAUAGUUCUUUAAUUUUUCUCAACAAAAUGUAAGAAGUCUUGUACAUUUUUGUUAGAUUUAUUCCCAGUUAUAUGAUCGUUUUUAAUGCUAUUGUAAUUGGGAUCUAGUUCAGAUUUUAUUUUCUAAGGAUUUAUCCCUGGUACAUAGAAGUACAACUAUUACAUCCAGCACCCUUGCUAACCUUACUCACGAGUCCCAGUAACUUAGUACAGGUUCUUUUAGGACAGAUUACAUUUUCUAACAUUCAUAAUCAUAUAAGCUACAAAUAAUGUCAGUUUCAUUUAUUCUAAUUUCUUUUUCUUGCCUUACUGCAUUGGCUUGUACCUCCAGUGUGUGUAUCCUCCCUAUAAGGAUUUGGGAGGACAAAACUUUGGGAGAGCAAUUCCUCUUUUUGUAAUCUUUGGAUAGGUUUGUGUAAGAUUUGUUUUAAUUUUUCCUGACAGCUUGGGUAGAACUUACUAGUGGAGCCAACAGGUGUGGACAGUUCUUUGUGAUAAGGAUUUUAGUUUUGUUUGUAACAAUAAAACAGUGCAGGAUUUUUUCUUAUGUUAGUUUGGUAAGGUGUAUAUUUCUACACUAUUAUCCUUUUCAUGUAUAUUUUUAAGUGUAUUGGUAUAAAUUGUAUAUAAUAUCCCCAAAUGAUCUUUCUGACGUCCAUGAGAUUAGUCAUGAUGUCAUCUUUUCAUUCCUGAUAAGGAUUAGUUGCAGUUUAUACCUUUUCUUUUUGCUCAGUCUGAUCAGCCUUGUAGUUUAAAGGACCAAUUUUGUUAUUUCUAUUGUUUUCUGUUUCAUUGUUUUCUCCUCCUGUUUUAACAAUUUCUUUCUUUAGACUUUGGGUCUCAUUUUCAGUUAUUUUUAUAGUUUCUUGAGAUGAAUGCCUGGAUUGUUGAUUUUCUGCCCUUUUUUUUUGAUAGGGUCUUGCUGUGUUGCCCAGGCUAGAGUGCAGUGGUGCAAUCUCAGCUCACUGCAACCUCUGUCCCCUGGGUUCGAGCAAUUCUCCUGCCUCAGCCUCCUGAGCAGCUGGGAUUACAGGGGCGUGCCACCAUGCCUGGCUAACUUUUGCAUGUUUAGUAGAGACAGGGUUUCACCACGUUGGCUGGGCUGGGCUCAAGCUCCUGACCUCAGGUGAUCCACCUGCCUUGGCCUCCCAAAGCGCUGGGAUUACAGGCACGAGCCACCACGCCCAGCCAAUUUUCUGCCUUCUUUAUCUUGUAAUAUAUGCAUUUAAGGCUAAACAUUUCCAUCUGGGCAUGACUUUAGCUACAUCCCAGUAGUUUUAUUACUCAGUUCAAAAUAUUCACUAAUUUCCAUGUGAUUUUUUUUUUUCCUGCCCAAGGGUUAAUGAGAAGGCUUUUACUUAACUUCUAAAUCUAUGGGGAUUUUCCAGUUACAUUCUUUGUUAUUGAUUUCUAGCCUACUUGCUCUGAGUUAAGAAAACAAACUAUGUUUUGAUUUUAAACCUUUGAAGUAUGUUGAGAAUUGCUUGAAGGCUAUGAAGUAUGUUGGGACUUGCUUGGUUAAUAUUUGUAAAUGUUCUGUCUAUACUUAAAAAUCAUGUGUAUUUAGCAGUGGUUGGUUUCUGUGCUUUUAUAUGUCUCAGUAAAGCCAGACCUGUUAAUUGUGUGAUUCUAAUCUAUUUCCUUACUGAUAUUUUCUGCUUGUUCUAUUAUUUGCUAAGAAAUUUUGUUAAAAUUGACCACUGAUUGCAUAGUUACUUCUCCUUUUAUUUCUAUCAAUUUUGGCAUAAAUAUUUUGAAGUCAUAUUAUUAAGUGCACACAAAUUUAGGAUUCCUGUAUCUUCUUGGUGAAUUAUUUAUCAUUACGAAGUGUUCCUCCUUGAAUAGAAUGCUUUUUCCUCAGAUUCUAUUCAUCUGAUAUUAACAGAGUCCACUAGCUUCCUUUUGAUUGGUACUUGCAUGGUAUUUAUUUCUCUAGGAUUUUACUGCUAAACUUUAGCCUUAUACCUUUUAGGUAUAUCUUUUACAAACUGCAUAUAGUUGGAUUUAUCUUUAUCCAUCAAUUUUUUAAAUUACAACAAAGAGAAAUGUGUAGCCCAUCUAUUCUGUUUUCAUUUCUCUUUUUUGCAUUUUUUGGCUUGAUAAUUUUUAUUAUUCUAUUUUUUCCUUUUAUUACGUUACUACUUACAGACUUUUAUGACUCUUUUAGUGAUUUUCUAAAGACUUUAUAACAAGUAUUUUCGUCUUAUUUAGGAGUAAUAUUAAUUUGUUAUUUCCAUCAUUUUUGAGAAAAAUGCAAACAACUUCUAUCUCUUUGAUUCCAUUUAUCCCUUCUCAAAGUUUAUGCAGUUUUUGCUGUAAAUUCGAGUUCUCUGUUUACACCCAUGAAACAUUACACUGCUGUGAUUCAUUUGUAUUUUUCAGUGUUCUUGGCCUUUUCCCAGCUCUUCAUUCUUUCCUCCAUUUCUGAGUGUUCACCUCAACUUGUUUUAUUUUUGUUUGAAGAACAUCAUUUGGGACAGAUUCUUUCAGUUUCUCUUCAUUCAACUUUACUUCCUGAAAGACAGUUUUACUGGAUGAUAGAAUUCUAUUUUCUUUUAGCACUUUUAAGAUAUUCCUUGGGAGGCCGAGGCAGGCAGAUCACGAGAUUAAGAGAUCCAGACCAGCCUGG
Molecule: long non-coding RNA, 5555 nt
Filed under: Homo sapiens (human)
Lineage: Eukaryota; Metazoa; Chordata; Mammalia; Primates; Hominidae
Description: CDH4 antisense RNA 1 (CDH4-AS1)
Source: RNAcentral